Molecule: ribosomal RNA, 255 nt
Filed under: uncultured bacterium
Lineage: Bacteria
Description: partial 16S ribosomal RNA
Rfam family: Bacterial small subunit ribosomal RNA
Source: RNAcentral
UACGGGGGGAGCAAGCGUUGUUCGGAUUUACUGGGCGUAAAGGGCGCGUAGGCGGCCUCUGCAAGUCGACUGUGAAAUCUCCGGGCUUAACCCGGAAAGGUCAGCCGAUACUGCAGGGCUAGAGUGCAGAAGGGGCAACUGGAAUUCUCGGUGUAGCGGUGAAAUGCGUAGAUAUCGAGAGGAACACCGGUGGCGAAGGCGGCAUCCUGGACCAACACUGACGCUGAGUGAGCGAAAGCCAGGGGAGCAAACGGG